Molecule: ribosomal RNA, 1118 nt
Filed under: Vibrio parahaemolyticus
Lineage: Bacteria; Pseudomonadati; Pseudomonadota; Gammaproteobacteria; Vibrionales; Vibrionaceae
Description: bacterial SSU rRNA
Rfam family: Bacterial small subunit ribosomal RNA
Source: RNAcentral
ACUUUCAGUCGUGAGGAAGGUAGUGUAGUUAAUAGCUGCAUUAUUUGACGUUAGCGACAGAAGAAGCACCGGCUAACUCCGUGCCAGCAGCCGCGGUAAUACGGAGGGUGCGAGCGUUAAUCGGAAUUACUGGGCGUAAAGCGCAUGCAGGUGGUUUGUUAAGUCAGAUGUGAAAGCCCGGGGCUCAACCUCGGAAUUGCAUUUGAAACUGGCAGACUAGAGUACUGUAGAGGGGGGUAGAAUUUCAGGUGUAGCGGUGAAAUGCGUAGAGAUCUGAAGGAAUACCGGUGGCGAAGGCGGCCCCCUGGACAGAUACUGACACUCAGAUGCGAAAGCGUGGGGAGCAAACAGGAUUAGAUACCCUGGUAGUCCACGCCGUAAACGAUGUCUACUUGGAGGUUGUGGCCUUGAGCCGUGGCUUUCGGAGCUAACGCGUUAAGUAGACCGCCUGGGGAGUACGGUCGCAAGAUUAAAACUCAAAUGAAUUGACGGGGGCCCGCACAAGCGGUGGAGCAUGUGGUUUAAUUCGAUGCAACGCGAAGAACCUUACCUACUCUUGACAUCCAGAGAACUUUCCAGAGAUGGAUUGGUGCCUUCGGGAACUCUGAGACAGGUGCUGCAUGGCUGUCGUCAGCUCGUGUUGUGAAAUGUUGGGUUAAGUCCCGCAACGAGCGCAACCCUUAUCCUUGUUUGCCAGCGAGUAAUGUCGGGAACUCCAGGGAGACUGCCGGUGAUAAACCGGAGGAAGGUGGGGACGACGUCAAGUCAUCAUGGCCCUUACGAGUAGGGCUACACACGUGCUACAAUGGCGCAUACAGAGGGCGGCCAACUUGCGAAAGUGAGCGAAUCCCAAAAAGUGCGUCGUAGUCCGGAUUGGAGUCUGCAACUCGACUCCAUGAAGUCGGAAUCGCUAGUAAUCGUGGAUCAGAAUGCCACGGUGAAUACGUUCCCGGGCCUUGUACACACCGCCCGUCACACCAUGGGAGUGGGCUGCAAAAGAAGUAGGUAGUUUAACCUUCGGGGGGACGCUUACCACUUUGUGGUUCAUGACUGGGGUGAAGUCGUAACAAGGUAGCGCUAGGGGAACCUGGCGCUGGAUCACCUCCUUAAACGAUGAU